RNAcentral lists this long non-coding RNA (264 nucleotides) under Mytilus galloprovincialis (Mediterranean mussel). Lineage: Eukaryota; Metazoa; Mollusca; Bivalvia; Mytilida; Mytilidae. The record is from RNAcentral.
GUUCGAAAUUCAUAAAUCGAUUGAGAAAAAAAAAACAAAUCCGGGUUACAAACUAAAACUGAGGGGAGGACAUCAAAUAUAAGAGGAAAACUACGACAAGGCUUUCCAUCAUUGUUGUCAUUGUAAACUUAAAUCAAAUAGCCCAAUUGAUUAAACGAUUUAAGUGUUUCAAACGCAUGCAAUGUUGUAAAUAAAUUUCAUUAUUUGAAUCUCAUUGCUGUUUAAGGUAUACAAUCAAAUUUACGUUAAUAACUUAUUAAUAAU